This 7005-nucleotide long non-coding RNA is filed under the name Triticum aestivum (bread wheat). RNAcentral's name for it is "long non-coding RNA (TAES_LNC011798)". The record is from RNAcentral. Lineage: Eukaryota; Viridiplantae; Streptophyta; Magnoliopsida; Poales; Poaceae.
CUGUAGUUUUUGUUUUUCUUUCCAGAUUUCAACUCUAACUUCAAAUAGCUAUAGCUUUUAUUCUGUAUACCCAAAUUAGGUAAUUCUUUUUCCUAUGAUCUCACAAAAAUCAGCACAAUAUCACAGUACCAACUUUGCACAUGUUUGCUCUGUUCAAAUUUGAAUUCGUUCGAAUUUGAAUUAAACCUUCCGGCGGCCGUAUCUCUCAAACCGCUUAUCAAAUUCGAGUGAUUCUUUUUGCAUUGUGACCGUAGUGCAAUUUAGGUGCUGUUAAGCUUCUGUUGUUGUGUUUUUGAAAUGAUUUUCUUGCUGUUGGUUUUAUUUUGGUUCGAUUCGUGUUCCGAUGAUUGAUUUGUUGAAUUGUGUGAAACGUGUAGAUUGUCCGGAGUGCGACGCGAACUAUUGUCAGGAGUGUGACUUUCUGAACCAGAACCAAGGCAAGUUACAUGUUGAUCAUCCUUUACCUAUUGUUUUCUAUGCAUGUAGUUAUAUCACACUAUAAAUAUCUGCAUGUAUAGGAUUACUAUAUUAUUUUGCUAUAUGCUGUUGAGCUAUCUUCCCGUCUUUUGCAAACCGUGGUAGUUGUAGUUGCUAUGCUUUGUAGACGGGGGUGGUUCGUGUUUACAUUGAGAUUUUUUGAGGAUUAUAAAUAUAAUCAAAUUUUUUUAUUGAGGACUUAAUUCACCUCUGGGCAGAAUUGGUAUUGAAGGGUGGUUUCAAGAACAUCAUGGUUUUUACCCUCUGAAUGUAAGUGGACGGCCGCCCAGGUUCAAAAAGAUCAGACAGACUUAGUGACUAGUAGCUUCCAUGUAUGGCCACUGGCUAUAUGGGCUCUGGCUUAGUUGAUCAGUUGUUGGAACCCUUUCCCAGACAAUGUCGACAGAUGUAGCAUAUGUAGGUGGGAUGUGGCCGUCAGGUGGUUAAGGGAACCUCUUCUGAAAGACUUCGUCUCAAUCUUCGGAUUGGGUCCAGUGGGUAAAGCGUACAAAACUCUGCAGAGUAUUAAAACUAAUCAUGAUUUGCCGUGCCCCCAGUUAUGGGUAAAUUUGAGCCACUAUGCCAUUACAGUUGUUGGAUGAUCUUGACAGAUGUGACACUUAAUAAUAUUUGUGGGCAACUUAAUAAAGGGUAGGUUGGAGUUGAUUUUGCCAACUCAACCUUGUGUAUUUAAUUGUAGUAAUAAAAGAACUAAAUAAAAAUUUGACUAAUAGGUAGUUAUGAGGACAAAAUCAGCUUUCUGCAAAAAUAAACCCUCAAGCCUUUCUUUUGUUGUACUAUGCAUAUACAUGUAGGUCUGCUAUUAUUACUCCUGUGUAACUUGCCAAUACAUUCAAAGUAUUGACCUAUAUGGCUGCAACGUCUAAUGUUGCAGGAUAUUCAGACGAAGAGUACGGUACCGUUAGGGUCGCGACCUGCACUUAGCAUCGCCAGUGGGCUAUGAUGGGACUCAUCGUUAUUUUCUGCUACAUUUCCGCUGUUUGAUUGGAUAAAGCUAGCCAAGUGCUAUGCAGAUUGUUUUAUUUUAUAUAUUCUGGAUCAUACGAUGUAAUAAAUGAUGCACUUGCUAUUCUGGUAUUCAUCUAUACUGUGUGUGCUAGCGAGUUCGAUCCAGGGACUAGCAUGGUAAGCACAGAGACUCAAAUCCUUCGAGAUUUGGUCGUUACAGAUGGCAUCAGAGCAGUGUGUUGACUAUAGGAUGUGACCCUAGAAAAUGGAUUAGAAAAGCCAUAGGAGUGAAAAUUAUUUAUCAACUAGUUAUACUUCUUACUAUUUUUUAGUUAAGCCCCUCAAGUAUGUUGCCAGUUAAGUAGGAACUAGUGCCGAGACCACCAUUCACGCUUGUUUUAUAUUGCAACGUUAUCGUGUUAGCGUAUUUGAUUAUGCCCAACUUUGUGGUAUGAAGAUACUAGAUUGUUUGCUUGAUUGGUAGUUUGUUUGUUAAUUUAUAUCUCGUCGAAAUUAUUCGACUAUAUAUAUAUAUAAUAUUAUCAUAUUAUUGUUUGUUGUUUGUUGUUUGUGUGUUGGUGUUAUUCGUUGUUGUGUUUUGUUGGCUUGAUCAUAUUAUGCCUAUGGGUAGAAUAUAUUUAUAUAUAUAGUCUUUAGCCCUAUUAUAUCUAUAACUCAUCUAUUCUUGCCAACCAAAACCCUUAGUAUGCCUAUUAGAGUGAGUUCCCCAGGAGCUGAGAUGAUAGCAGGUGUUGGUUGUCAUCAGUUGACCUUGUCUAUUGGGAAGCAUGAGUUUCCUACAGAUUUGAUUAUAUUAAAGUCACAAGGUCUGGAUAUUAUUUUGGGUAUGGAUUGGUUGCAGUUAUAUAAAGGUCGUAUUGAUUGUGCCAGUCGAUCUAUUACUCUCAGUGCACCAGGAGGGAAGAGGAUCAAAUAUGUGUGUAAGUAUAAGCGUAAUCAGGUGCAGGUGAACUCUCUUAAGGGGGGUAGCCUGGAAGAGGUGCCAGUUGUCAGGGAUUAUCCAGAUGUGUUUCCAGAGGAGUUGCCAGGUAUGCCACCAGAUAGAGAUAUUGAGUUUCUUAUUGAUUUAAUACCAGGCACUGGACCUAUUGCAAAGAGACCAUAUAGAAUGCCUCCUCAAGAGUUGGAGGAAUUGAAGAAGCAGAUAAGAGAAUUGCAGGCACAAGGAUUUAUUCGCCCAAGUUCAUCACCUUGGGGAGCUCCAGCUUUGUUUGUGGAGAAGAAGGAUGGGACCUUGAGGAUGUGUGUUGAUUAUCGUUCUUUGAAUGAGGUAACCAUUAAGAAUAAGUAUCCCUUGCCCAUGAUAAAUGAUCUAUUUGACCAGUUAGAGGGAGCUACUGUGUUUUCUAAGAUAGAUCUUCGUUCUGGUUAUCAUCAAUUAAAGAUUCGUGAGCAAGAUAUUCCCAAGACUGCUUUCACCAUGAGGUAUGGGUUGUAUGAAUAUACUGUUAUGUCAUUUGGAUUGACUAACGCUCCUGCAUACUUCAUGCAUAUGAUGAACAAGGUGUUUAUGGAGUUCUUGGAUAAAUUUGUGGUUGUUUUCAUUGAUGAUAUAUUGGUGUUCUCCAAGAAUAAGCAAGAGCAUGAGGUGCAUCUGCGUUUGGUAUUGGAGAAAUUGAGGGAGCAUCAGUUGUAUGCCAAGUUUAGCAAAUGUGAGUUUUGGCUGGAUGAGGUAGCAUUCCUUGGACAUGUUGUGUCAGGUAAUGGAGUUGCAGUUGAUCCAUCUAAGGUUGCUGCAGUUACAGAGUGGGAGACACCCACGACAGUUGGAGAGAGUCGCAGCUUUUUGGGCCUUGCAGGUUAUUACAUGAGGUUUAUUGAGAACUUCUCCAGGAUUGCAAAGCCUAUGACUGAAUUGUUGAAGAAGGAGAAGAAGUUUGUUUGGACUGAUGAAUGUGAAGCCAGCUUUCAGGAAUUGAAGCAGCGUUUGGUUACAGCACCAGUCUUAACACUGCCGGAUAUACAUAAGGACUUCCACGUAUAUUGUGAUGCUUCUCGUCAAGGACUUGGGAGUGUUUUGAUGUAGGAAGGUAAUGUUGUUUCAUAUGAUUCACGUCAGCUUAAGAAUCAUGAGCAUAAUUAUCCUACACAUGAUUUGGAGUUAGCCUCAGUUGUGCAUGCAUUGAAAACUUGGAGGCCAUACCUUAUUGGUAAUCGUUGUGAUAUAUUUACUGAUCAUAAGAGCUUGAAGUAUAUUUUUACUCAGAAGGAUUUAAACCUCAGGCAGAGGAGAUGGUUGGAGCUUAUUAAGGAUUACGAUUUGAAUGUGCAGUAUCAUCCUGGUAAGGCUAAUGUUGUUGCUGAUGCAUUGAGUCGUAGGAGCCAUGCUAAUGCAAUUAAUAUUGAUAAUAUGCCACCCGAGUUAUGUGAACAAUUCAGGAAUCUCAGGUUGGAGAUGGUUCCUAAGGGAUAUUUGGCAACACUUGAGGUAAAGCCUACUUUGCUUGACAGGAUUAGAGAAGCUCAAAAGGGUGAUAAGGAGAUUGCUGAGAUAAAAGAGAACAUGGUUAAAGGUAAAGCAGAAGGUUUCCAUGAGGAUGAACAUGGGGCCAUAUGGUUUGAGAAGCGUAUUUGUGUACCUCAGGAUGCAGACAUCAAGAAGUUGAUUCUUCAGGAGGCGCAUGAUUCACCUUAUUCUAUUCACCCAGGUAAUACUAAGAUGUAUUUGGAUUUGAGGGAAAGAUUUUGGUGGCCUAUCCUGAAGAGGGAAAUUGCUGGAUAUAUUGCAACAUGUGAUGUGUGCCAGAGAGUUAAAGUAGAACAUCAGAGACCAGCAGGUUUGUUACAACCAUUGCCUAUACCUGAUUGGAAGUGGGAUGAUAUUGGUAUGGAUUUUAUUACAGGUCUACCCAGGACUCGGUCAGGUUAUGAUUCUAUUUGGGUAGUUGUUGAUCGUUUGACUAAAGUUGCUCACUUCAUCCCGGUAAAGACUACUUAUACCAGUUCUCAGCUAGCAAAAAUUUAUAUGUCUAAAAUUGUUUGUCUGCAUGGAGUUCCAAGGAAGGUAGUGUCUGAUAGAGGUACUCAGUUCACAUCCAAAUUUUGGCGUCAGUUGCAUGAAUCCUUGGGCACCAGGAUGGAGUUCAGUACAGCUUUCCAUCCACAGACAGAUGGGCAGACAGAGAGGGUAAAUCAGAUUUUGGAGGAUAUGUUGAGAGCUUGUGCUUUGGACUAUGGGUCCAGUUGGGAUGAUAAUUUACCUUAUGCAGAGUUCUCAUAUAAUAACAUUUAUCAGGCUAGUCUGAAGAUGGCACCAUUUGAGGUAUUGUAUGGCAGAAAGUGCAGGACACCAUUGAUGUGGGAUGAGGUUGGAGAGCGUCAGUUCUUUGGGCCAGACUUGAUCAGAGAUGCUGAGGAGAAGUCAAGUUGAUUCGUGAUAGACUGAAGAUAGCACAAUCCAGACAGAAGAGUUAUGCAGAUGCGAAACGUAAGGAGGUGACACAUGAGGUAGGAGACCGUGCAUAUCUUAGAGUUUCACCACUUCGUGGAAUUAAGAGGUUUGGAAUUAAGGGUAAGUUAGCACCACGUUUUGUAGGGCCUUACACGAUCUUGGAGCGUAGAGGAGAGGUAGCUUAUCAGCUGGAGUUGCCAGAAUCCUUGUCAGGAGUUCACAAUGUGUUUCAUGUAUCUCAGUUGAAGAAGUGUCAUGCAGAGAUGAUGGAUGUUUCAUUGAGGGACACAGUGCCACUUGAGGCACUUCAGUUGGAGAGUGAUUUGACAUAUGAGGAGAAGCCUGUUAAGAUUCUGGAGACAGCAGAGAGAGUUACUCGCACCAAGACAAUCAAGUUAUGCCAGGUUCAGUGGGAUCAUCAUACAGAGGAGGAAGCUACCUGGGAACAAGAGGAAGAUCUCAAGCAGGAUCACCCACACCUAUUCGCUAGCCAGCCCGAAUCUCGAGGGCGAGAUUCAUCUUAAGGGGGGUAGGUUUGUAACAUCCCAAUUUUAAUUAAUUAGGAUGUUAUUAGAUCAUACAUAUGCAUAUCAUAUUUUCCAUGCAUUAUUUGCUCUUCUGCAAUAUUCUUUUCAUUAUGCAACUAAAGACAAUUUAUUGGAGUGGAGAUAAAAUGACUUCUCCCCUGUUUAAAAAUGUUCAUAAUGUCAAGAAUAUUAUUUCCAGAUCAUCUGUUACGUUCUGGUAUUUUUAUUAGUCUCCAAAAUAUUUUACUUGUGUGUUUUGUUGCUGUUUUGUGUGGCCUAUUGCAUAAAUGAUUUUCCAAAAUUGCAUUAGGUGAGGAACUAGUGUUCCUGUAGUUUAUAUUAGUAGUAAAUAUUUUACUGUGUGUAUAUGUAUUUUUGUUUAGUUUUUAUUAUGUUGUUUUUAUUUUUAGUUUAACUGCUGUAGCAGUUUUGUGUUCUAAAAAAAACAGCCAGCCAGCCAGCAGUGCACACGCGCGGCCCAGCAACCGCGGCCCAGCCAACCGCCAGCCCCGCAGCCCGCUCGCUCGCAGUCGUUGCCGAAGCGGUACGCCCGCUCGCUCGCACCCGACCCGCGCCCGAUCCACCCCUCGCCUCCAGCCGCUGACAGCGGGUCCCGCGUCCUGCUCGUCUCCUUCCCCGAGCCGGACUGGAGCGCACGUACACGCGACCGAGGCCGAGCCCGGAUCGAUCUGCGCCCCUGUUUGAUCCCGUGCGAAAAACCCUACCGGAGCCCUUCUCCGUCCUUUCCUCGUCCGCACGAGCAGCUAGGGCGAAACGGAUCUCGCCGGAGGAGCUCCAAGUCCGCCGGACGCUGCCGUCGCCGUAAGAACUCGCAGGGCCGCGCCGCCUGUUUCCUUCGCUUUCCCCCUCGAAGCCACGCUUCGCUGACUUAUUUUCGUGGGCAGAGAGCCACCGGAGCGAGCAACUCAAGCUCGUCCACCGCCGCCGGAGCACACCGCGUUCACGUUGUCACCGCCGCCCGCAGAGGAUGCCCCGCCACCGAUGAACACCACCACCACCUCCGCCACUCACCGCCGCACCCGUACGCCCUUCAUCUUCACCGGAGACCCACCGGAGGACCGCCGCCGACCGCCGCCGCCGUUUUCCUCUGUUUCCGGUGAGCACGCACGCGCAGGAGUUUUUCCACCAAUCACCCGCUGCCACGUGGCACUUCGCUACAGGAACAACACGGGAGUUCGCUACAAGACACGCACAGGAGUUGCUACAGUUCGUGUGAACUGUGCAGGAGAUUUCUGUAGUUUUUGUUUUUCUUUCUAGAUUUGAACUCUAACUUCAAAUAGCUAUAGCUUUUAUUCUAUAUACCCAAAUUAGGUAAUUCUUUUUCCUAUGAUCUCACAAAAAUCAGCACAAUAUCACAGUACCAACUUUGCACAUGUUUGCUCUGUUCAAAUUUGAAUUCGUUCGAAUUUGAAUUAAACCUUCCGUAGGCCGUAUCUCUCAAAUCGCUUAUCAAAUUCGAGUGAUUCUUUUUGCAUUGUGACCGUAGUGCAAUUUAGGUGCUGUUAAGCUUCUGUUGUUGUGUUUUUGAAAUGAUUUUCUUGCUGUUGGUUUUAUUUUGGUUCGAUUCGUGUUCCGAUGAUUGAUUUGUUGAAUUGUGUG